This 371-nucleotide ribosomal RNA is filed under the name uncultured organism. Its description in RNAcentral is "bacterial SSU rRNA". It matches the Rfam family "Bacterial small subunit ribosomal RNA", at positions 526 to 896 of the family's 1533-position model. The record is from RNAcentral.
CGUAGGUCCCGAGCGUUGUCCGGAAUUACUGGGUGUAAAGGGGUGCGCAGGCGGUCUUGUGCGUCAGAAGUGAAAUAUCACGGCUUAACCGUGAGGGUGCUUUUGAAACGGCGAGACUUGAGUACGGGAGAGGAUGAUGGAAUUCCUGGUGUAGCAGUGAAAUGCGUAGAUAUCAGGAGGAACACCGGUGGCGAAGGCGGUCAUCUGGCCCGGUACUGACGCUCAGGCACGAAAGUGUGGGUAGCAAACAGGAUUAGAUACCCUGGUAGUCCACACCAUAAACGAUGUAUGCUUGGUGUUGGGGCAGCAAUGCUUCAGUGCCGUAGGGAACCUAUUAAGCAUACCACCUGGGGAGUACGAUCGCAAGGUUG